UUUCCGUAGGUGAACCUGCGGAAGGAUCAUUCAUAAUAAGUGUUUUACUGCACUUUUUAAAAAUAGUACUCACCUUGUGUGCAAUGUUGUGUUUCUUUCCGGAGAAACACCUACACCAACCUAUAACCUUGAACCACUUUGUCUGAAAAACUAUUAUGAAUACUCAAUUCAAAAUACAACUUUCAACAACGGAUCUCUUGGCUCUC
RNAcentral lists this unclassified non-coding RNA (206 nucleotides) under plant metagenome. RNAcentral's name for it is "partial contains small subunit ribosomal RNA, internal transcribed spacer 1, and 5.8S ribosomal RNA". The record is from RNAcentral.